This is a long non-coding RNA of Daphnia pulex (common water flea), 915 nucleotides long. RefSeq lists it as uncharacterized. The record is from RefSeq and is a predicted model, not a curated record. The transcript has 2 exons. Lineage: Eukaryota; Metazoa; Arthropoda; Branchiopoda; Diplostraca; Daphniidae.
AAGGGGAAAUCAGUCUCUUCAGUUUAGGCGCUCAAUGUAGCACGUUGCGAUUCGUAUUCAAAUGAGAGACUGCUUGGGAAAAACCAAUAGUGAGUUGGUGAUUAAGCCAUGAAGGUGCGAAUAAGGAAACACAGCAUUUUGUCCAUGCAUGUUGUUCUCCACGUGACGAUUUCCCUCUUGUUUUCUGACUCUUUCGUUGUUCUCAACUGGCUAACAAAAACAUUGGGUUUUAGUCAAGAAGCAGGUUACACUUUCAUCCAAAACCCUGACUAAAUAUUGGUUGGUUCGAUCAGAAAAUACCUCACCAAACUACUUGUGUGUGUUGAAGUGUGAUUGGUCAAGGUGAUGUCAUUGCUUGAAUGCCAACUGAAGUUGAGCUUUCGUUGCCUACUGUUGUGGAAAACUCACUGAACACCACAAACAAUUCUGUAGACUAUUCUUGAACUACUACUAUGGUCGCUCAGAUAUUGACAGAAUAAUGGGCCCAAAUAAAUUUUCGUCCAAGCCACAGCAGUGAUACUACAUUUCAUCAUUAAUUCAUCAACUCUUCCAUGUCAUCAAUUCAUUGCCAAGAAGACAACACAAAGGUAGGAACAUAAAAAAAACAUUCUUUUCCCCAAUUUUCCUCGUUAUUGUUACAGCCUCAUUUGCAAAGAUAUAGUUUUUUUUUUGAGAAUCCUAUGUUAAUUUUGGGGAUUUUCAUCGUUCGUUUGAGUGUUUUUCGUUCGUGAAAUCUAUGACGUUUUUUUUUCUCGUUCGGUUCAACACACACAGAUAAUUUUUUAUGGGAAGUACGAGGAUAGGCCAAUUGAAUUCACUUGUUCAGAAUAAUCUAUUUUUUGCGAUAGGUCUUGCUCAGAAGUCCUAAAAAGCCUAAAAUACGUAAGCCGACAAUCAUAGCAACCAAGCACCAAA